AGCCGAGGUGCCAUCACCCUCGCAAAACAGGUGGCAAAACACAACUGCCGAAGAUGCAGUUCUAGUUGCUGCCUAAAUAGGUAGCACAUCCAACCCGGCCUCACCUUGACGGGCCGGGAUUGGGUGACGAAAAGUUGAGGUGCCAUCGCCCGGACGUCGAUAGGGGCGGUGAAAGAAAACAUCGACUUGCCCGGCUAAACUCGGUCAGCAGAGGCUAGACGGGUAAGAUCAAAGAGCU
This 238-nucleotide transfer-messenger RNA is filed under the name Chloroflexi bacterium RBG_16_57_8. It matches the Rfam family "transfer-messenger RNA", at positions 49 to 304 of the family's 374-position model. From Rfam's summary of the family: Bacterial tmRNA, also known as 10Sa RNA or SsrA, is named for its dual tRNA and mRNA-like properties. The record is from RNAcentral. Lineage: Bacteria; Bacillati; Chloroflexota.